UUUUUUUUUUUUUUUUUUUGGAGCAGGGGAGCGAGCUGAGCAUGGAUUUUUCACACCUUCAGUAAAAGCACUAAUCUCUAGGUUUUGGGAAUGGGGAGUCACAAAAGAAGAGACAACACAACCUGUGAAAGAAACAAUGCUCUGAUGUGUUCCUUUGAGGUUUUAGGGAUCUUGUCUGAGAGCUGGGACUGUCCUGUUCCUCUAAGAACAUGAAGUAGAUCUUUCCCAUUUGGAGACAUAAAUCUAACUGAAGUGUGAGUCUCAGCUGCAGACAUCCUGAUUUUUUUUGUUAUUAAGACAUGCAGACAUUUAGCUGACUGAAGGUGAUGAGCUAUGUAAUGGUCACAGUAAGAUAAUUCACGUCAGUGCACACAGGCAGCAACUGUGUAAAGAUUGUGUGGGUGACUUUAUACAACAACAGGAAAAUACAAACUACCUCAUCCUAACUACAAGCAAGCAUUUGGGAGACCUGUCUAGUUGCCAUGUUUCACACAAUUGUCCUUGGGAUUGCUACUACAGAGACAUGUAUUGCAUUUGCAAUUCCCCUUAAUCAGAAGAGAGACAUGAGAUUAGUUCCAAGAGGAUUAUUACUAUUUAUUUCUCUACUUGCUGCUUUUCUGGGUUAUGAUUUAGAUGAAAUUCAGUAAAUUUGUAUUCUUUUUUGUCCUGCAGACUUUUUCAGACUACUUGCAAAGCCACGAACAUCAAGAAGGAAAAAGGAAGGCCAUAAAAAUAGAUACUCUAGAGAAAAUAGAACUAUCAUCAACACACAAUUGAACAAGAGAAAAAUACUAAUUCAUUUGGAACCUGCAUACUUAUUUAAAGAGUUUCAAAAGAACAGCUUUCUCUCUCCCAGACACAAGCAAUUUCCAAACUCUAAAACAGGUUUGGAAUUGUCAUUCACUUUCGGUAGCAUUAGACACAGAGAGCAAGAAGCAGGGGGGUAAAAGCAGAAUUGACACAGAUCAGGAGCACUUAGAACUUGCUAUCUAGAGAAACAUCUGCUUUACUUUCAUCACAGAUUAAUGAAACACCUCACUAAUGUUGUGCAUUUGUGGAGAGCAUGAAGGUCUGUAGGCAGCACACACAUUACAUAGUGCACAUUACUCCUGUGCAUUGCUUUUGAGCAUCACCACCAGAGGCUUUUUAAGACUCUACAGCCAUGGAAUUAGCUGUGGUAUUGCCAGCCAGCUGUGUAUCCUCCAUGGACUUUGGAACAAGCUAUAAAAGUAAAAAGAAAAACAUACUUUGCCAGCUCUUCACAAAACAGAGCCAGCACUUUAAAACCAAGUGGGUCCUUUUCCGCCUGGCAAAUCUUGAGGUCAGCAUCACAGGUCACCACUCGGGAUUGCGUCAGGGACCAACUGGUUGUGUUCAGGCAGCCUUGGGUUGGUCUGGCAGCCUGCAUGAAGUGAACAAAAGCCAGACCAAGACAAGAAGUUGAGGGAAUGGGAUAGGAGGAAAUUAAGAAGACUGUUCCAAAGGCUUUUGAAUUAUGACACCCGUGUUGCUGCAAUACUACUGGAAAACUAAAUUAAUUGCUCCUUUCCUUAGCCCCCUCCUGCUGUGGCUGUAUUUAUUUUAGCUAAGGGCCUGAGACACUAAAGAUGCAUCCAAUUUCCAUGCUGUCCAAAUGCUUGUAAUCACAGAUUUACAAUAAACUGAGACAUCUUGAAAAACAAAGCUGUUCAUUAGGUGGUUCAUGGCCUUCAAAAUUUUCAAGACAACAGAAGUAGUGGGAGGUAACAAAUCUGCCAUAGAGAGGGAUAAUUUCCAAAAAUUUCAGAUCACCUAUUUUUUUAAAAGCAGCAGUCUUUAAUGAACUUCUGUUCAGGAUCUCAAAAGCUGAGGUACCUUGACUCUACAGUCAGUCUAUAGUCACUACUGGAAAAAGAAAAGAUAACUAUCUUUUUAAGAUUUUAGUUUACAGUUACAUUACUGGAAAGCCAAAGGUUUUCUAGGCACUGUAAAACCACAUAAUAAAAGCAGAGCCCAUUUUCUGUAGAAACCAGAGGUUCUGUACUUCACAAUCAAUCUGUUACAUAAAUUGCAAGGAUGUGGCUAGAUGGAAACAAAUUUUAUUUAGUACAUCAUAGCAAAAAUCACCAAAAUUUUGCUCAUCGGAUCUUCGCUUGGCACAGGUUGUCAGAAUCUCAUUGAUAGCACUCCAAGAAAACACUGCUGUUAUUUUUAAGAUCUAUCACCCUUUUUUGAGUAAUUCCGUAGCCAUUAAACAGCCUGUGAGUGCAAUCACAGCUAUGUAUACUACCAAGUUCCCUGUACAGCACAAAGAACUACCUGAAAUUGAAAUGGUAAAGCAUGAGAAGUUCCUUUUGUUUGCCCUUUUCCCCUGAAACAUCCAAUAUGUCUUUUUAAAGAGUGAGGGUUGUUUUCUGUUUCUUCUUACUCUUAUGAGUUUUGUUUCUUCUUAGUUUACUCAUGUAAUUCAUUGCAGACUUCAGACAGUAACCUCUGUAGAAAUUGCUAGUGGCCCACAGACCUAGCAUAAAAUAAAAAGUUACAAGUCUACAUAACCUUAAUUUUAUGGUUAUAAGCUAUAUUUAUUGCAAUAACAUAAGUUUGAAAAGACUGCUAAGUGUUCAGUGUGGGAAUGCAGGGAAUUUCCCUCAAGUUAGUUUUAUGGAGAAAUGUGUUGUUAAACUGUAGGAAAGGUUACAGUCCUUUCAAGUGCUGCAGAGCUGAAUGCCUAUUAGGCAUUUUUAGGGUAUGUAUAAAAUACCCCAAUCACUCCCUCAAUAUCACUCAUUGAAAUUCAGAUUCAGGACCUUUUCUCUGUUCAAGUCACAUUGGUUUUAACACUGUAAAGUAACCUGAAUGAGAAUGUUAUCAAGGAUCAAGGUGGUAGAAUUUGCUCUGUAACGCUUGCCCACCUGGACUUCUUUGACUUGGAAGUGUUUUGCACCGUAGCAUAUAGACAUGGUGCAGCUCAGUGAGUGUACAGCAAAGCUGAGACUUUAUCAACAUGAGAGCUGGGAGUGCUCUUAGUACUUCUAUCCUGAUUUUAUCUAAUGAGUCUGGGCAGGCUACAAUCACCUGGGUGACUCAGUUUCUCCACCUGUAAAACUACAAUGACUACUUUCAAAGACACUGAAUCCUCUUGUGACCUGCCAAAGAACAAAUGCUAAACAAGAGAACGCACUGUGGCUCCACACAUUUCUUGGCCUCUCUCCUGCCCUCGGUCCCUUACUCUUCUCUGCCAAGGUAUGUGCCCACUCACUUUGCUGGGUGACCACACAAUGAGCUGGACUGAACACUGCCUGUAGACUAAGACUUAACAGAAUGCCUGUGUUACAGAGUCAACUUGCUCAUUUGUAUUAAAUCCAUGCACACUUCCUCCAGAAGGUGGAUUGGCACAACUGUUACGUGACGGAACCAGAGAGAAUGUGGAGACAGGGUCAAAAGACCUGUCUGCAUGAUAGGUAAUGCCCUGUCUGCCCCUGAAUGUGUUCCUGAUGUGUCAUAGGCUCAGGGACGAUAGGAGGAAAGAGAGAAGCCUGCAUUGACGGCUAUGAACUGCUCAGGGUGCAGCUUCUUGGUUUGAUACACAGUACACCACCGUCUUUUGAAAAAUCUCCUUUCUUACCUCCAUUAUUUUAAAUUAUGUCUGCUAUCCACAUCUACUGCAAAUGUUGAAAUUUCUCUCUUCUCCUUGUUGCUCACAUUAUCACUAAUUCUGCAUUUAUUUUUUAUAGGAAACAGUUUAUUAUCUUUUACAGAAUGUCAAGAGGAUCUGAACCUGAAACAAGUCUUUGCAAUUCAGCCUACAGGGUCAUCUAAAAAAUAAAAAUAAAUUGUGUGACAGAGAAACUGAGGAACAAAUGCUUUCUUGCAUUUGCUUUCUCCCAUCUGCUUUCUCUUUCAGGCAUUAGGGGUUUUUGUAGUGCAAGGAAAAAUUCCUUUUAUUUUCCAGCUACAGUUUGCUAGCAGCCCCUUUUGGUUUUAAACAACUGAUUAUCUACUCUUCCAGUGGAGGUCAUGAAAUUAUAUUUUAUACUGGCCAAGCAACCUCUUGAAGCUCAGUUUACCUUCUGCCAGAUUUCUGAAAAACAGUAAUGUCAUUCUGCAAUGCCCUCUGCUGGGAGAUGCAGCCUGGAGCUCGAAGGAGAGUUACCAGUUCCCAUCCUCCAGCAAGGAACAGAUAUUUGCAAUGAGAUGGACUGGAUUUUCACCUUCUGUAUGAAAUCCUGACCCUGCUGCAAUCAAUGAAUUCCUAGCUUUUUAUUUUCACUUUGCCCAUGAACAUUCUUCCUUUUGAAAACUGCACUGGAAAAAAACCUGUUUAUUUCACAUCCAAAUGAAAACCUCAUUACUCACAGACAUGAAGAUCUCUUUUUAGCAUUUGAGCUCUAGAGGGAGGUUUUAUGAAGAAAAAGUCUUUCAUCUGAAAAAUUCUUUGUUCUUCUUGCCAUUCUUUUAAGUCUUUUAACUGUAAAAGCCUGUACAAAAUCACACAUGCAAAUGGCAUUCAUGUUGCACAAGUGUGAUUCUGCCUAACAAAUAUUUUCACUGACCAGGGUUCUUGUACUGAGAAAAGGAAGCUAUGCAGUGAAACAAAGAGCUGAUAUGCAGUGAAAUAAAGGAGUGUGUCAGGAACCUGAUGUGUGACAAUGCCAGCCCUGCCACCUGCCACAUCUGUCUAUCUGAGUUACAGAGAUCCUGGGUCCUCAGGAAGAAAAAUCUGAACCUGCCCCACUGAGGAGCAGGAUAUUAGUGUGGAGUUCACACAAACAGCACCUUCAUCUCCACGUGCACACUCACACCAUGCCGCUGAGGCUUAUGGCAUAGUUUCUCCUAGUUCACAAUUCUUCUGGAGAAUCAUCCCUGAAAAAUAUUUUCCAGCCUUGGCAAGGGUGAUGGAACACUAUCUUUGCUUUGGUUUCAGCUCCCUAAGCUAGGCUGGUUUUACAUGGUGUUUGUCUCUCACCACAGCUGUGCAAUGGGCAGCAAGCAGGAAGAAUUUUUCCACAGUAGUCCCCAGUCCUCUGUGCUUAAUGCUUUCUCCUUCCUACUCACGUUCUCAUAGCCUAGAUCCCUCCUGGCAGGCCAAUUAUCUUAUAUUUACUACUACUUAUUAUUUAUAUCUGUUAAAUGGAAACAUUUUUACCUUGUGAUAUGUUCUCUGCACUGACCUGCUUUAUCACCAUGUGCGUCCCUCUGCUCCACUUUACAGGGCCUGACACCCUUGGUGCCAGAGAAUGCAGGUGCAGUAAAGCUGCACAGUGACUGGCAACACCAUUUUUAUUUGAAGUUACACAUAAUUAUCAUUGAUUUGGAAGUGUGACCUCCUUGUUACACAGCCUUACAAGCUGACAGUUUUUUUCCAGAAACAACUUUCCAGUGUUUGUUAUGCCCGCACGGAGAUCAAAAUGUCAUGGUUAUAAGAAGCUUUGAGGAUUAUGUCACGUUCAUUAAAAGACCCCCAGACAAGUAUUUUUGUGUUUUGUAUACUGUCCUGAAAAAUCUUCUGCUUCUCUUGGUAAGCACCAGGUCACAUUCAUUUGAAAAUGAGCAUGUAUGUUUACAAACAUCCAAAAGUAAGUUGACCCCUCACAGCAAAGGCUAUGAUUGUCAUUCUGGACACUUACCUGUUUUUCUCAGGAACAGUUUCCUUUACAAGAGAACUGUGUAGCCCAGGCAACAGGUGGUGGCUGCUCACAUACUCUAACCUUGAAAUUAUUGAGAGGAAGGUUGGAAGAAACUGGAAGUUUUUCCAGUCCUCAUGCCCCUCAUGGGUAAGGCAGCUGUGCCAGCAAACUGAACUGAAAAUCCACCCUCUAAGCUGGCACCUUCAAUGGAAGGAUUGACAGUGAAGUCCAGGACUGGGAUAGCCUCCAGCUUAAACUGUCCUUUGAUCCAAGGCUGUCUCUCAACAUCACAAACCAGUGUUAUAUGAGGAAUCUUGCACACACUGUUCAUUUUGCUGCCAAAAGGCCUUUCAGUAAGUUGUCUCCUAAUAAAUAAGUUGUCUCCCAAUCUGGUAUCUUUAGUAGAAAAAUUUCAUUCACAGGAACGUUUGCUAGUGGUUAAAUAUAUGGCAAAAAAUCUAGAUUUAGCCGUGAAUUUUCUCAUGUUGAUGCACUGUACUGCUAGUAAGAAAUAAGCAGUUUCACUCAAAAUGAUGUUAUACUGGAUUGUGAUAAGAAACAGGGUUAGAGUAAUAUCCUGUAACUGGGAGCAACGAGUUGUACAGCUCUACAUAUGCUGGAGGCAGCAGAACACCUUGGGGAGAGGCAGUCACUGCAUUACCUCCAUCCCAACUUCUGGGGCAAGAGAUUGGAAGGCAGAAAGGCCUGCAACAUGCUGCCACCAUAUCAAGAAGAAGAGUCCUCCCUGCAAUCAUUUCCCUCUUGUCUGGCAAUGGGUAGCACUAAGAAACGACUUUGGUGUUACCUGGCUCUGCUGACCUCUUAUCAUUCAUUACCUGAGCCCCCAAGGGUUCAUUGUUCAGAGAAGAGGGCUGAGAAGAGUUCUGGUCAGCCUCAAUUUAGGGUCACUUUUGUUCCCAGAGAAAAGAGAAGAUGGAAAUAAACAACCUGCCCUAGAAAAAAAUGUUUUUGUCUUUAUCACUGUUGUGGCAAAAUCCAGUUUUAUAGCAUCACUGAGAAAGCUUUCAGUAGCUUAAGGACUAGAGAACAUUAUGGCUUCCACCCAGAACAGCCUGGGUGUCCAGGCUUCCAGCCUUCUGUCCCCUCUUCCUAAAAAUAUAUUAAGAUAGUAUAAAAAAAUAUAUUAAAAAAAAAAAAAAAA
Molecule: long non-coding RNA, 6768 nt
Organism: Taeniopygia guttata (zebra finch)
Lineage: Eukaryota; Metazoa; Chordata; Aves; Passeriformes; Estrildidae
Source: Ensembl